GAUGAACGCUGGCGGCGUGCCUAAUACAUGCAAGUCGAGCGCACAGACGAGGAGUUUGCUCCUCUGACCUUAGCGGCGGACGGGUGAGUCACACGUGGAUAACCUACCCAUAAGACUGAGAUAACUUCGGGAACCCGGUGCUAAUACCGGAUAAUAUCUUGAACCGCCUGGUUCAUUGGUCAAAGACGGUUUUGCUGUCACUUAUAGAUGGAUCCGAGCCGCAUUAGCUGGUUGGUAAGGUAACUGCUUACCAAGGCGACGACGCGUAGUCGACCUAAGAGAAUGAUCGGUCGCACGUGAGUGGGGACGCGGACCAGAAUCCGACGGGAGGCAGCGGUCGGGAACCUUCGGCAAUGGGCGGAAGGCUAUCGGAGGAAAGGCGCGUAAGUGAUGACGGUCUUCGGAUCGUGAAGCUCUGCGAUUAGGGGAGUACAAAUGGCUAAGGAUCGGUACACUACUUGACAGUACCUGGUCAGAAAGCCACGGCUAACUCCGUG
Molecule: ribosomal RNA, 497 nt
Filed under: uncultured bacterium
Lineage: Bacteria
Description: partial 16S ribosomal RNA
Rfam family: Bacterial small subunit ribosomal RNA
Source: RNAcentral